GGGCCUAUAAGCUAGUGGUUAGACUGGCUCGUUUACACCGAGCAUGCACCAGUUCGAUUCUGGUUAGGCCCA
RNAcentral lists this transfer RNA (72 nucleotides) under Candidatus Staskawiczbacteria bacterium RIFOXYA2_FULL_32_7. RNAcentral describes it as "tRNA-Val". It matches the Rfam family "tRNA". Rfam says of the family: Transfer RNA (tRNA) molecules are approximately 80 nucleotides in length. Their secondary structure includes four short double-helical elements and three loops (D, anti-codon, and T loops). Further hydrogen bonds mediate the characteristic L-shaped molecular structure. tRNAs have two regions of fundamental functional importance: the anti-codon, which is responsible for specific mRNA codon recognition, and the 3' end, to which the tRNAs corresponding amino acid is attached (by aminoacyl-tRNA synthetases). tRNAs cope with the degeneracy of the genetic code in two manners: having more than one tRNA (with a specific anti-codon) for a particular amino acid; and 'wobble' base-pairing, i.e. permitting non-standard base-pairing at the 3rd anti-codon position. The record is from RNAcentral. Lineage: Bacteria; Candidatus Staskawicziibacteriota.